Gadus macrocephalus (Pacific cod) is the source of this 1280-nucleotide non-coding RNA. The record is from the annotation of a RefSeq genome assembly. NCBI's taxonomy places the organism in Eukaryota, Metazoa, Chordata, Actinopteri, Gadiformes, Gadidae.
AAGGCAAUGAUCUCCCUAUUCUUCAAAGAGGAGGGAAGUGGUAAUCCCACCACACCUUUCUAUCAGAUGGAUGGUGGAUCUUCAUCGUUGAUCAGAGACACUGUGGUUGCACCUGCUAAUGAUCCACUGUAGCAUAACUCCCAAGAGGAGGGAAAAAAUGAAAUAACCAUCAGCUGUAUGACUGAACACAAACACACUAUGUUAAGACAGUCAAUGAGGGAGUAGACGUUAAAUUGUAAAAAUAUAUUAUUAAUAUUUAUAUAGAGUUAUAGAGUUCCAUGAGAACGAGAAUUUACCCAACCCUUCGGGUAAGGAAUUACAGCAAUAAAAAAUGUCUAACUCAUUGAACAUAUAACAUUCAUAUUUUGAGUACACAAUUAUUUUUUUAUCUAAACAUUGUAUACAUGUACAUGUAGAGAUGGUGACGCCACAGUGAUUCUCCUUGACUUUUGAAAGCCAGAGCUUCUGUCGCUCCUCUUCCUGGGUCCUCGUGGUCUCCACAGAGACAGUAUAGUAGAAGGUCUUCUCCUGUCUCAUUCAGUCCUUGGUGCCACUCUAGCAGGAGGUGGAGCUUGACAGGCAGCACAUCAGAAACAAUCUGUCAACAACAGCUUUUAAACUCUUGAUUGUUGCUGCUUGACAACAUCUGCUUGUUCCAGUAUUAGCUAUGCAGAUCUUCAUGUUAGUGGUUUUAUUCACUGGGUUUACUGGUGACAGUUAUCAGCAAACCAUCCACUCAAUCCAGGACAGUCCAGUCCAGGCUCUACAAGGAGACGGCGUGACUCUCUCCUGCAACUACUCUUCAGCAACAAACUUCUUCUGGUAUCGGCAGUACCCCAGCUCACCUCCCCAGUUCCUUAUCAAAGAUUACAUGGAGCUAUCUGGAUUCACCUUGAAAAAGGACAGUGAUAAAAAAAUUUUCCAUCUGGAGAUCUCCGCUGCUGCCGUGACAGACUCUGCUCUGUACUACUGUGCUCUGAGGCCCACAGUGACAGGAAACACAGACUCCCUGUACAAAAACCUGCUGAGCACGAAACUCAAUUCCCUCUCCCCCUUAAACCAUCACACAGACAUUACUGUUUAAACACAUCGGUACUCCUCUGUGCCAUUUUCCCCACACACCAAACAUCUUACAAUCUUUCUGAAGUUCAUUCUCUUUCUGUAGUUCAUUCUCUUUCCAUAAUAUUGGGAAUUUUAGGGUUCAAAUUGGUUAUUAUAUGUGGGUCAUUUCAAUCAUUGGUUAUUGUUUCAGACAUUUUAUCCUGGUGUGUUCUUUAUGG